Dromiciops gliroides (monito del monte) is the source of this 124-nucleotide small nuclear RNA. NCBI's taxonomy places the organism in Eukaryota, Metazoa, Chordata, Mammalia, Microbiotheria, Microbiotheriidae. The record is from RefSeq and is a predicted model, not a curated record.
GUGUUGUAUGAAAGGAAAGAAGGUUAGCACUCCCCUUGAUAAGAAUGGAAGAGGUCCUAGUGGCCUUUACAACACAUAUACCGUUAAGGCAUUGCCACCUACUCUGUGGCAUCUAAAAGGAACA